Molecule: ribosomal RNA, 403 nt
Filed under: uncultured bacterium
Lineage: Bacteria
Description: partial 16S ribosomal RNA
Rfam family: Bacterial small subunit ribosomal RNA
Source: RNAcentral
GACGAACGCUGGCGGCGUGCCUAAUACAUGCAAGUCGAACGCAGUGGGGACGGGUGAGUAACACGUGGGUAACCUCCCAUCAGAGGGGAUAACACUUGGAAACCGGUGCUAAACCGAUACUGAUGGAUGGACCCGCGGUGAAUUAGCUAGUUGGUGAGGUAUCGGCUCACCAAGGCCACGAGGCAUAGCCGACCUGAUAGGGUGAUCGGCCACACUGGGACUGAGACACGGCCCAGACUCCUACGGGAGGCAGCAGUAGGGAAUAUUGCACAAUGGGCGCAAGCCUGAUGCAGCCAUGCCGCGUGUAUGAAGAAGGCCCUAGGGUUGUAAAGUACUUUCAGUCGGGAGGCGUUACCGACAGAAGAAGCACCGGCUAACUCCGUGCCAGCAGCCGCGGUAAUUC